GACGAACGCUGGCGGCGUGCUUAACACAUGCAAGUCGAACGGAAAGGCCCUGCUUUUGUGGGGUGCUCGAGUGGCGAACGGGUGAGUAACACGUGAGUAACCUGCCCUUGACUUUGGGAUAACUUCAGGAAACUGGGGCUAAUACCGGAUAGGAGAUCCUGCUGCAUGGUGGGGGUUGGAAAGUUUCGGCGGUUGGGGAUGGACUCGCGGCUUAUCCGCUUGUUGGUGGGGUAGUGGCUUACCAAGGCUUUGACGGGUAGCCGGCCUGGGAGGGUGACCGGCCACAUUGGGCCUGAGAUACGACCCAGACUCCUACGGGCGGCAGCAGUGGGGAAUAUUGCACAAUGGGCGGAAGCCUGAUGCAGCAACGCCGCGUGCGGGAUGACGGCCUUCGGGUUGUAAACCGCUUUCGCCUGUGACGAAGCGUGAGUGACGGUAAUGGGUAAAGAAGCACCGGCUAACUACGUG
Molecule: ribosomal RNA, 468 nt
Filed under: uncultured bacterium
Lineage: Bacteria
Description: partial 16S ribosomal RNA
Rfam family: Bacterial small subunit ribosomal RNA
Source: RNAcentral